GCGAUGAAGGGCGUGCUAAUCUGCGAUAAGCGCCGGUAAGGUGAUAUGAACCGUUAUAACCGGCGAUACCCGAAUGGGGAAACCCAGUGUGACUCGUCACACUAUCAUUAACUGAAUCCAUAGGUUAAUGAGGCGAACCGGGGGAACUGAAACAUCUAAGUACCCCGAGGAAAAGAAAUCAACCGAGAUUCCCCCAGUAGCGGCGAGCGAACGGGGAGGAGCCCAGAGCCUGAAUCAGCAUGUGUGUUAGUGGAAGCGUCUGGAAAGGCGCGCGAUACAGGGUGACAGCCCCGUACACAAAAGCGCAUGUGCUGUGAGCUCGAUGAGUAGGGCGGGACACGUGGUAUCCUGUCUGAAUAUGGGGGGACCAUCCUCCAAGGCUAAAUACUCCUGACUGACCGAUAGUGAACCAGUACCGUGAGGGAAAGGCGAAAAGAACCCCGGCGAGGGGAGUGAAAAAGAACCUGAAACCGU
RNAcentral lists this ribosomal RNA (474 nucleotides) under Salmonella enterica. Its description in RNAcentral is "partial 23S ribosomal RNA". It matches the Rfam family "Bacterial large subunit ribosomal RNA", at positions 46 to 559 of the family's 2925-position model. The record is from RNAcentral. RNAcentral also lists the same sequence under 3 other names. Lineage: Bacteria; Pseudomonadati; Pseudomonadota; Gammaproteobacteria; Enterobacterales; Enterobacteriaceae.